This 270-nucleotide ribosomal RNA is filed under the name uncultured archaeon. RNAcentral's name for it is "partial 16S ribosomal RNA". It matches the Rfam family "Archaeal small subunit ribosomal RNA", at positions 477 to 747 of the family's 1478-position model. The record is from RNAcentral.
CAGCACCUCAAGUGGUCAGGAUGAUUAUUGGGCCUAAAGCAUCCGUAGCCGGCUCUGUAAGUUUUCGGUUAAAUCUGUACGCUCAACGUACAGGCUGCCGGGAAUACUGCAGAGCUAGGGAGUGGGAGAGGUAGACGGUACUCGGUAGGAAGGGGUAAAAUCCUUUGAUCUAUUGAUGACCACCUGUGGCGAAGGCGGUCUACCAGAACACGUCCGACGGUGAGGGAUGAAGGCUGGGGGAGCAAACCGGAUUAGAUACCCGAGUAGUCC